Long non-coding RNA from Apodemus sylvaticus (European woodmouse), 2394 nucleotides. RefSeq lists it as uncharacterized. The transcript is spliced from 2 exons. NCBI's taxonomy places the organism in Eukaryota, Metazoa, Chordata, Mammalia, Rodentia, Muridae. The record is from RefSeq and is a predicted model, not a curated record.
UACCCGUACCUCAUUACGCCGCAGUCCAGCUCUUGGGACAGCCUGGGCCCCGCCCACGCCUCCAGGGUUGUGCUGUAGGGCGUGGCUCUGCCUACAACAGGGGCUGCUGGGGGCCUCCAAACGGUCUGGCCAGCCAGGGACAGGGAGGGCAGAGACUUGAGUGACCGUGCCUGAGUCUGUCCCGGUGGUACCCAAGUCGUAGGCCACUUCCGAGAGCUGGCGGAGCGGACGCAGGCCUCCAGCAAGAAGUUUGUUGAAGCUGCAGGAUCCCAGAGUGGCGCCAGAAGUCUGAGCUCUUCACCUCUCCCACCGAGAAAUCCACACCCCUGGCGCCACCGGGGAUCCAGUUGCAGGGUCCAUCUCUCCAGCCGGCUAAGUCCUGGUCCGCAUCUUUCAACCAGUUGAACAAGGAAUAGUUUGGACUUUUAAUCUGGAAUGAACUACAAUCCAGAAAUGGAGGGUGCAGCUGGGAUCCACAUCCUGAGACUCGAAGACACAAACUUUCGAUCCAGAUCUUGAGGGACAGUGGCCAUGACAAGCUUAGGUCCGGGCAUGGUGGUACACACUUUUAAUCCCAGGAGACAUAGGCAAGCAGAUUCCUGAGUUCAAGGCCAGCCUGGUAUAGAACAAGUUCCCAGCAGAGGAAAGCUUAAAUUCAGGCGUGUGGUAUAAUACAUACCUUUUGAUCUCAGCAUUCAGGAGACAGAACCAUGCAGAUCUGAGUUCAAGGUCAAUCUACAGAGCAAGUUUCAAGACAGCCAAGCUUAGGCAGUGAGGUAGUUGGAAACAGAAAGAUGGUGAUAGAAUAAGGGUGGGGUGGGGGGGAGCAUGUUCCAGUCCCAGCAAGCAGCAGAACUCAGGAGCUCGCCCAUGUGGCUCUGGCUUUAGAGUCCAGAGUAGAAGGGACUACUUGGACAAUUGAUGCUGGUUAGCUGGAGCUAAGGAAUUGAUAGUAAUUAAGAGACCAGCAUCACUGAGGUGACAUCUUCUGGGAAAUGUUUCCUGAGAGCACAAAGAAGCUGUGUUCCAGAGAUCGCCAAGGUUGUACCUUGUGCUGCAGCUGGACUUGGUACUGUGUAAGAGUCACCCAGGUGGUGCUGGUUUUGAAGGAAUGGGGGGGGGGGUCAUGGAGAGCAGCUGAGGCUUGGCACUGUGAGAGGCCAGGGAAAGCCAAUGGUGAAGGCACAGCCUUUGUUGCAGUUGACGGCCUAGGACUGAAGAGGUCAUGCAAAGAAGUAGAGGUUUGGUACCAUCAAGAGAGCCUAUGGGCAAAGCCUAGUUUCAGUGGAAGACCCCAGUGCAUUGGGGAUGCCGUACCCUGAACUAUCGAUCACCAAGCACAGCUGCAGCAGUGGGGUGGAGUCAGCCAGAGCCUAGAGUGCUACAGAGGGCGGAGCUGGGGAAGUGACACCAGCCUUUUGGAGGAGCCCAGAUCAUGUGUGGACCCCAGACACUGGAACAGGAAACUGUAACGUUAAAGUUGCCUUGGAAACCCCAAGAUGCCAGAGCCAUUGGGCUAUCUGCUGAGGAAAGCUGCCAACAGAAAGUGGAACCAGCCCAGGAGAAAGAAGUUUAUUGCCGUUAACAAGGAGGUAAGGAGCUGGAGAUCUGAAGACCGCCUUGGUAUCAGACAUGGAGACGCGGAAGGUUGGAGUUUGCCCAGCUGGUUUCCUGUCCUGCUUUGAGGUUACAGUAAAGUGACUGGAUAAAUCUCAGAAGAGACUUUGAACUUUGGAUUUUUAACAUUGUUGAGACUGUUAUAGACUAUGGGGUCUUUGGAAGCUGGACUAAAUGUAGUUUGCAUUAUGCCGUGUUUAGGUGUGGCUCCCACAGACUCAUGUUUGAACAAGCCUAUGGGGGCCAGGAGUGGAAUGUGGUGGUCUAUAUACACACGCUUGGGCCUGGGCGUGGCACUUUGGAGGUGUGGCCUUGUCAGGGCCCUCUCCCUAUGCACCCUCUCUCUGGAGGCCACAGACUCCUCCAUAGCACGGGGACCUGGUUCUCCCCACACCUCCUCCUUUUGCUCUUCAAGCACAAUUACAGGAAAUAUUUUUUUCCAGACUAGAAGUCACUUAAUCAUGUAAUUUUUAAAAAAUGGGGCUUUUUCUAAUUGAAGCUUUUCAAUAAAGCUUCAAUCUAACUUUUCAUUUAACAGGGGCAGAGGAAUGUGGAGUUGGCCAGGCAUGGUGUUACACACCUGUAAUGCCAAAACUUGGCGGUGGAAACAGGGGGAUCAGAACAUUGAGCCCAGUCUGACCUCUAUGAGAUUCUGAUUUGACAAACCAAACCAAAUUAAAGCCAACAGCUAAACUAUUCUUGGGAAAUCAUUUUCAAAUUCACGGAGGGUUCUAUUACAGUUACUAAGAUUCAAAAUAAUAAAUCCAUGCUCCAGGA